This 777-nucleotide ribosomal RNA is filed under the name uncultured Neocallimastigales. RNAcentral's name for it is "partial large subunit ribosomal RNA". It matches the Rfam family "Eukaryotic large subunit ribosomal RNA", at positions 26 to 614 of the family's 3401-position model. Lineage: Eukaryota; Fungi; Neocallimastigomycota; Neocallimastigomycetes; Neocallimastigales. The record is from RNAcentral.
CGCAUCUGUGCAUGCAGCAUAUCAAUAAGCGGAGGAAAAGAAACUAACAAGGAUUCCCCUAGUAACGGCGAGUAAAGCGGGAAGAGCUCAAAUUUGAAAUCUUAAAGGGUUUCCCUUUACGAAUUGUAGUUUAAAGAAGUGUUUUCUGUUGAGGUUUUGGUAAAAGUUCUUUGGAAUAGGACAUCAUAGGAGGGUGAGAAUCCCGUAUUUGACCUUUACUUUCAACUUUGUGAUACACUUUCAAAGAGUCGGAUUGUUUGGGAAUGCAGUCCAAAAUGGGUGGUAAAUUUCAUCUAAAGCUAAAUAUUGGCGAGAGACCGAUAGCGAACAAGUACCGUGAGGGAAAGAUGAAAAGAACUUUGAAAAGAGAGUUAAACAGUACGUGAAAUUGUCAAAAGGGAAGCGUUUGACACCAGUGUUGUUUUUCUGAAAAUCAAUUAAAGAACUGUUUAUGCUAAGUUGUUUAGACUUUAUCAGCUAAUCUGUUUAGUUUUGAGCUUUUCUUUAAUGCACUUUAUCAGUUAACAAGUCAACAUCAAUUUCUUUUGCUGUAAAAAAGCUUGAGGAAGGUGGCUUGAGAUUCGUCUUAAGUGUUUAUAGCCUCUUGCCUAUGCAGUCGGAGAGAUUGAGGUCUGCAGCGUAGAUCCUUCGGGGCUAAAUGCAUUUGUGCUAAGUUAUAGCAUUUUAUAGACAACUUGUUGACUAUGAUUUGUCUUGUAGCUUACUCGCUUAUGUUAUUUUACCUACGCUUAGGAUGUUGAGUCAUCACACAUCUCU